Molecule: long non-coding RNA, 1786 nt
Filed under: Durio zibethinus
Lineage: Eukaryota; Viridiplantae; Streptophyta; Magnoliopsida; Malvales; Malvaceae
Description: long non-coding RNA (DZIB_LNC000427)
Source: RNAcentral
UUUAUAUUUAAUGUUUGUUAUUUGAAACUAUUAUAUAUGUAUUUUUGUAUUUAAUGUGAUUGUAUUUACUUUUUUACAUUAUUAACUUUUUUAACAGAAUAAUUAUGAUGUGCAAUGAGAAUUUUUUUGUGAUGAGUUUAAGAGCUAUAAACCAAUAUUAUUGAAGUCCUAAUAAACAAUUGAUAUCAUAAGGAGGUUGAAUUAUAAACCGAUGUUAAUCUAAUGGCAACAUCAUCAUAAAGAAGUUGGUGGCUUAAAAUUGAUAAAGAAGAGGUUGGACCUCCAAUUUAUUUUCUCCUACCCUUCUAACCAUGUGGGGUAAAUUUUUAUCUCAAAAUCACACCUUUCUGCGGCGCCUAUUCAAUUUUCUUUUUCAUCUUUGUAACAAUCAACUUAAAACUCUUGGGUUCACAUUUUAUGAUCAAUGAAUGAGAUCCAUAAGGUAUAAAAGAGAAUUAUCUCUCAUUUGAUGUUUAAGAUUAUCAGAAUUUGAAUUAUGAUUACUAAAAUUAAAAUCCAAUACUUCAUCAACAGAUCACAUAAUUAUAUUGAUAAAAAAUAAAAAAUAUUUAUGCUUAUUGUGAGAUUUGAAUCUUGACAAACUUCCUUUAAGGUAAGAUAUUAUCAAGUGAAACUUUAGAUUUUAAAUAUCAUAUACAGAGGCGGAUCUACAUACAUUUAGGUAGGCCGUUUAUGAACGCUUCACAAAUUAAAAAAUAAGAAAAUUUUAAGGGAAAUUUUCUUAACACUCUCAAAAUUUGGAUGCAGUUCCUUAAUUCUACCAACUCUGAGAUGCCAUUCAACAGAUUUUUAAAUGUGAUGCAGAUGUAUAGAAUUGGUCACCAGCAUGGACAAUCUGCAAAAAUCUUCUCUCCUCUUAUUUUCUCAUUUUGACAAUUAGAAAUCAGCAUUUAUUCGAUUAUUAGUAUUACGGUUCCAUUAUGUCCCUUAAUUUAUCUCUUUUCUCACAUUGGUUUUCUUUACUUGACUAGAAUUUUCUGGUUAUUUUUUUCUUUAAUGAUGUGGAAAGCAAUAGAUUCUAAUAUAUUUCUCGAGAAAAUAAUCAGAAUAUAUCAUUUUUUUAAUUCUAAUCUAUCUUUGAAUCUCUUUAUCUUUAUAUCACUACAAGAAAAUUGUUCAACACUAAUGGCUUUUUACCGAUGAAAAUUUUUCAUCUGUAUUUAUUGAUGGAUAAUAAAUAUAAAAUUACCAUGAAAUUACCGACGAAAUUCUAAUAGAAUAUUGAUGGAAUUUACUGACAGAAAAAAAAUUUGUCGAUAUUCUGUAUGUGAUGAUGGCACAAGAAUUUGGGAAAUUGGCACGGAAAUUAUCGAAGGAAAAAAUCCAUUGGUAAAACCUACGGAUUAUUGGCAAAUUUUUUUCUUAGAUAAAGAAUUUUCUAAAAAAAUACUAAAAAAUUUUUCAAUAUAAAAUAAAUGGAAUUAAUUAAAAAUUUUAGAUUACCGAUGGAAUUUUCAUCAGUAAUCCAUUAGUGAAAGCAAUUAAAAAUUUUGGAUUAUUCCGUCGGUAAUCCAUCGGUGAAAGCAACUAAAAUCAAAAUCCUCAAUUCUUUUUUUUCCUCUUUCGACAGAGACCCUAAAUUUCUAAAAGCCCCACCUGCCAUCUCCUCUCUUCCUCUUUUCUCCUCGCCUAUUCGAUCGUCGUUGCCAUUCCGUUGUGAAGUCAUACCGCUAGUUCCUUUUCCCUCUGCCACCAAUUUUUUUUCCCUUUUCGUUGGUUCCUUCUCCUUUAUCGUUCUGUUGGUUGUUCUUUUCUCUCUCUCAUG